CAGGCACUGGGCUCUUCAACUGCUGAACACUACUUAACAAAUUUUCCCACUGUUUCCAGGGCUGUCCGUAUUGACACUUCAAAAGGGCAAAUGCCUUUGCUCAAGGUCACUGGCCAGGAAGUAGUGGAACUGGACUCGGAAUUUCAGGGCCAGCUGCCUCCCCACACCCAGAGAGAUUUCAUGGCACCAGGAGAGGCCAAGUAGGCGAGAAAGGAAACGGAAUGAUUCGUUUACUGCCCCGGGGCAUUUUCAGCAACAAGCGGAUUCUUUACCAACUGAGUUACCGGGGAGCCCUGACAAGCCCGUGGCAAUUCAUGGUUUGUGGAGGAGCGCAGUUUCUGAAAGCCCUGGUGAGCCUUGCCUGGAUCCUACCCUGGAAGGAAAGGAACUGGAAGCAGGAGAGUCACGUGGGGUCUGCCCUGGUGACUCUGGGCAGCCUGACAGAUGCUCUCGGACCCCAGGCCUUUACUGGGGCUAGUCUUUCUCCCCCCUGCCCUUCCUUCCUUCCCCGCCUGUCCCUCUUCUCCCCCUGCUGUGGUUCUUCUCAUGUUUCAUGGUCCCCUUCAAAUGCCAUCUAGAUCUGGGGUCAGUAUUCGUUGUUCCCUCCUCUGGGCCCUUAAAGUCCUUUCAUUGUGUGUUACCAUUUAUUGUAUUCCAUCUUAUCUUUUAUGUCAGUUGCACCUGUUCAUCUCCCUCACUGGACUGAAAGUUCCUUAAAGAGCAUAUUAACUCUGGAAUAUUUAUUUCUCAUUUCCCACAGCACUUAGCAUACAAAGCUUUGAGCCAGGCUUUUCUCAAGCUCCAGUUCCUCUGCUUAUUGGCCAUGUGAUCUUGGACAAGUCACUCCAUCUCUACGACCUCGAGUUGUCUCAUCUGUAAAAUGGGGAUAAUGAUUUUUAUUGCAGAGGAUAAUUGGGAGGAUUACCUGGUUAGCACUCAGCAAACAUUAGUUGCCCUCCUCCCUCCUCUGCUCUCUGGCUCAUAAAGAUUGCUGUAACAUCCUGGGAGAGCAUCCCUGAGGGAGGGGUACCCUGCUUUUCCCAUGGGUCCAGAUGUCAGAUGCCAUCUGUACUGGUUUGCUGAGCACCUGGGCAGAAAGGCGGGCUACCAACAUUACUGCGUGGAUCCUUGGUUAUCAGUGGCAGUCAACACCACCCAUUCUAAUCUGAUCUUUUUUUUUUUUUUUUUUUUUGACACCUUCCAUGGAACACUCAUCCUUAAUUUAAACAAAAAGGUAUUGCAAGAAAAAAAAAAAAUUUAAAA
RNAcentral lists this long non-coding RNA (1263 nucleotides) under Bos indicus x Bos taurus (hybrid cattle). RNAcentral describes it as "lncRNA (ENSBIXG00005028518.1)". Lineage: Eukaryota; Metazoa; Chordata; Mammalia; Artiodactyla; Bovidae. The record is from RNAcentral.